RNAcentral lists this ribosomal RNA (429 nucleotides) under Chloroflexota bacterium. RNAcentral describes it as "Chloroflexi bacterium partial 16S ribosomal RNA". It matches the Rfam family "Bacterial small subunit ribosomal RNA", at positions 355 to 776 of the family's 1533-position model. The record is from RNAcentral. Lineage: Bacteria; Bacillati; Chloroflexota.
UGGGGAAUAUUGCACAAUGGGCGCAAGCCUGAUGCAGCCAUGCCGCGUGUAUGAAGAAGGCCUUCGGGUUGUAAAGUACUUUCAGUCGGGAGGAAGGUGUCAAGGUUAAUAACCUUGGCAAUUGACGUUACCGACAGAAGAAGCACCGGCUAACUCCGUGCCAGCAGCCGCGGUAAUACGGAGGGUGCAAGCGGUAAUCGGAAUUACUGGGCGUAAAGCGCACGCAGGCGGUUGAUUGAGUCAGAUGUGAAAUCCCCGGGCUUAACCCGGGAAUUGCAUCUGAUACUGGUCAGCUAGGGUCUGGUAGAGGGGGGUAGAAUUCCAUGUGUAGCGGUGAAAUGCGUAGGGAUGUGGAGGAAUAACGGUGGCGGAGGCGGCCCCCUGGACAAAGACUGACGCUCAGGUGCGAAAGCGUGGGGAGCAAACAGG